RNAcentral lists this long non-coding RNA (881 nucleotides) under Vitis vinifera (wine grape). RNAcentral's name for it is "long non-coding RNA (VVIN_LNC000713)". The record is from RNAcentral. Lineage: Eukaryota; Viridiplantae; Streptophyta; Magnoliopsida; Vitales; Vitaceae.
UUGAAUUUAUUUAUUUUAAAUCAUACUAUUAAUCAUUCUUAUUUUUAAAAUAUUAUUAUUAAUUUUUAAUAAAAAAAAUCAAUUAUUAUUUUACAAAGAUGUCAGUAUCCAUAUUUCUAUUAUAAAGAGCAAAAUAGUAUAAUAAAUUCAUUUUAAAUUUAUUUUAAAUAAUAUUGUUAAAUCUAGACUCUUGAAGGCCAAUAACCACGAUUGCCUUAAAGAUCUCAAGAACCCCUUCACCAAAAGGAUAGGAUACCAACCCAUUUCUGUACAUUUACAAACAAAAGCACUUGAAUUGAAAAGCAACAUUGAAUUUUAAGGACAACAACUCUUCAUGUAAUGCCAUUGCUGCCUAACAAAGAUCCAUCACUAUGAACAUAAAAGGUAAAAUCAACAAGUGAAAAUGUGAAAAACUAUAGCCCGUAAACACAAACAUCAGUUUAAGCAAACCCAAAUAAAAACCAGUGAAAUCAAGCCGAAUCCUCAAAAAUAAAAAACAAACCACAGAACCAAAACGAGAAUCUUAAUUCGAAAAUGGAGAUCCGGAUCUCGUAUAAGGAGAGAAACCCUAUUGCUGCUUCAGUGAAAGGAGAAGAAGAGAUGUCGUAUGGAAAGAAAGAGGCAACAAUUUGUAGUGGAUUUGCAGCGUGGAGCAAGCGAUUGCUCCCCUUCUCUCCUUCUCCCUCUCUCUCUUUCUCUUCUGACACGACAAUUCCAAUCUUCAUCAACAAUUCUCAGGUCGGGUUUCUUUGUGUUUCAGCUUUGAGAAUUAGUUCAAGUUUUAAAUUGUUUUAUCGACAUGGGAGGAUUUGCUAAUGACAUAGAGAAAUUUAAGGGUAAAUUAGUAUGAGAAAAAGUAAAUACGACAUAAUACACAUUUU